Molecule: long non-coding RNA, 1130 nt
Filed under: Struthio camelus australis
Lineage: Eukaryota; Metazoa; Chordata; Aves; Struthioniformes; Struthionidae
Description: lncRNA (ENSSCUG00000009985.1)
Source: RNAcentral
UUUCAAUUGCAUCGGCUGCUCUACUGAUCUGAAAGUCUUGCUUUCCUUUGGUUAGGGAAAACCUAACACUGCCUAAAUAAUUAAGCAAAUGAUAUACCCUUAAAGAAAUGAGAAAAUACUGUUUGUUAGAGACAACUCCUUUAAAAUCACCACCUGAAACCACAGUCGCGUGUGUGUAAGGCUCACAGCAGUCGUCAGUGGCAUGAUGGUCAACACAGCAGUGGUUUUCCUGAAUUCCUCAAAGGAAAACAAGAGUAGGAGUGGAGCAGUUGUGCGAAGUAGUAGCAAUAUAUAUCCAGCAAAACAGAGAUUUCCCUAAACUGUUGUGGAGAAAUGUCUCAACUUUGUUACAUUGUUAGGUUUCUCCAGUACAAAGGAAGCGAUACUCUGAGGUCAAUUGGGUAGCUUGGGUGGUGUAAUCACUCCUGAACUUCCUCUUCUGGGCAUAUCACUUGUUAGAGACAGACUAGCUGUUCCGCAGAGUCAAAAGAGAGUCAUAUCUUUCUUCCUGGAGGGUAUAUGGGUUAGGGGGAGGCGAGAGAGGAAGGAAGGCAGGGGAAACAACUGGCCUCUUCAUUCCUUUUCUUUAUUCGUGUUUUCAAUGGGGCUAUAAAUGUCAGUUCCUUCCUAAUGGAUCUGGAGAUUGAAGCACUCCUGCUACUGAAAAGGUUGAUAUGGCUCGAGCAGCAAUAUCCCAUUUAUGAGAGGCUCUUGAUCUUCUUCAAAGAUCCCAGCAGGUUACUACAAAUGGAUUUUUUUCCUAACUUGAGCAAGUCAGUGUCUUGACAGCGACUGGAGAGAGAGGUGUUUUAAAAAAAAAACAGCCUUCCAAGCUCAUUGUGGCCAUGGAGUCAGCCAUCUGUCACGCAGAGCCCCCAGUAUCACGUAGCAUUCGUAAACCGUAGGUGAUUGCUGGGUUGUCACAGUUGCCAUAACGACUUCUCCGGAGGCUCAGAAGCGUGGAGUCGGGUGUGCUGGAGCAACGGUGAGGCUUCCUGAUUGUGCAAGGUGGGAAGCCUCUUUUCCGCUCAUAUGAGCUUCCUCACGAAAGCCACCCUCCUUUUUAGCACUGCUUUGUAUCGCAGGGGGCUCUACCGAGCUGCAGCGUGAGCAGAAACGAAGGGGAAGGU